CAUCGGCUGCGGGCCCCUCUGGCGGGCGCUCCUCAGCGCCCGUGAUGUCGGAGCCGAUGC
Methylobacterium radiotolerans JCM 2831 is the source of this 60-nucleotide non-coding RNA. NCBI's taxonomy places the organism in Bacteria, Pseudomonadati, Pseudomonadota, Alphaproteobacteria, Hyphomicrobiales, Methylobacteriaceae. The record is from Rfam.